UACGUAGGGCGCAAGCGUUGUCCGGAAUUAUUGGGCGUAAAGAGCUCGUAGGCGGCCUGUCGCGUCUGCUGUGAAAUCCCGGGGCUUAACCCCGGGCGUGCAGUGGAUACGGGCUGGCUGGAGGCAGGCAGGGGAGAAUGGAAUUCCCGGUGUAGCGGUGAAAUGCGCAGAUAUCGGGAGGAACACCGGAGGCGAAGGCGGUUCUCUGGGCCUGUUCUGACGCUGAGGAGCGAAAGCGUGGGGAGCGAACAGG
Molecule: ribosomal RNA, 253 nt
Filed under: uncultured bacterium
Lineage: Bacteria
Description: partial 16S ribosomal RNA
Rfam family: Bacterial small subunit ribosomal RNA
Source: RNAcentral